Molecule: long non-coding RNA, 378 nt
Organism: Calliphora vicina (urban bluebottle blowfly)
Lineage: Eukaryota; Metazoa; Arthropoda; Insecta; Diptera; Calliphoridae
Exons: 2
Source: RefSeq, a predicted model, not a curated record
CCCUCGUAAAAUUGUUAUUUUAACAAAACGUUUUAAUCAUUUCAAUUGAGAUUGAUCAUAUUCAUUAUGAAUUUUUUAAAGAAUUUCCUUUUGGUCCUGGUCAUUUUAGCCAUUUCUAUGGUUACCAUUGAGGCGGGCAAUAAUUUUUCAAAAUCCAGUGCUCCAGUAAAAGAUACAAAAGCAACUAAUGCAAAUAAAGGAAAUAAAACCGAAACCAAGGGUUCCACUGGCAAUAAAUCGAAUGCGCAGGGUUAAAUCAUAUUUAAAUUAUUACGAUUGAUCUAAAUGAAGUUUAUUUAGCUUGUAAUAAGGUUUAAAUCCCAAACAUUUAAAAAAUAUUUAAAAUUUUUGUAUUAAAAUAAUUCAGUUUUGAAGAUA